Molecule: ribosomal RNA, 707 nt
Filed under: uncultured bacterium
Lineage: Bacteria
Description: bacterial SSU rRNA
Rfam family: Bacterial small subunit ribosomal RNA
Source: RNAcentral
AGAGUUUGAUCAUGGCUCAGGACGAACGCUGGCGGCGUGCUUAACACAUGCAAGUCAAGGAGAACGGAUCCUUCGGGAUACUAUUAAACUGGCGAACGGGUGAGUAACGCGUAGGCAACCUGCCUUGGAGAUUGGGAUAACCCCGGGAAACCGGAGCUAAUACCAAAUAAUGCAGCGGAUCCUUCGGGAUAUGUUGUUAAAGUGGGCUUCGGCUCACACUUCAAGAUGGGCCUGCGUCCGAUUAGCUUGUUGGUGAGGUAAUGGCUCACCAAGGCGAUGAUCGGUAGCUGGUCUGAGAGGAUGAUCAGCCACACUGGGAUUGAGAUACGGCCCAGACUCCUACGGGAGGCAGCAGUGGGGAAUUUUGCGCAAUGGACGAAAGUCUGACGCAGCAACGCCGCGUGAUCGAUGAAGCUUCUAGGAGUGUAAAGAUCUGUCGUGAGGGAAGAAAAAUCUGGAUGUAAAUAAUGUUCAGACGUGACGGUACCUCACAAGAAAGCACCGGCUAACUUCGUGCCAGCAGCCGCGGUAAUACGAGGGGUGCUAGCGUUGUCCGGAAUUACUGGGCGUAAAGGGUUCGUAGGCGUCUUGCCAAGUUGAUCGUUAAAGCCACCGGCUUAACCGGUGAUCUGCGAUCAAAACUGGCGAGAUAGAAUAUGUGAGGGGAAUGUGGAAUUCCUGGUGUAGCGGUGACAUGCGUAGAUAUC